CAGCAGCCGCGCGCCUCACUCCUGACGCUGCGUGCUGCAGGUGUGGUGGAGGAUAAACGACGGCUGUAUGUGGUCAUCAUCAUCCUCAUUACAUCGGUGUUGUGAUCAUACAAUAUGCAGAGUUGGCCAUGGCAGCUGGUGUUUGCUGCUGCUGUCUUCAGUUUCAUAAAUGAAACAAUGAAUGACAGGUGCCUCUGGUCGGACUGUGUGAUCCGAUGUUGGAGGCACCAGCCACCUCAGUGACCCUUGAACCGUGCCAUUACCAUGUCAGAGAGCCCACGGCCCCCCAAGCUGACACUUCACAAUGGCGCACAGGAAACGGAUGGUUAAUACACCCGUCACAAUCAUGUCACGCUCUUUAACACAAUGCUGGGAAAGUAACGGAGAAAUAAACCGUCACCAUUUUCUAAAAUAUGUUUUCCUCUCCGCUUCCCCAUCUGCCGCUGUUUCGUCAAGUGGAUUCACACAAUCGAUACGUCUCGAACAGGAUGUCUAUCCAGUCCUGUUUGUCGAAAACUGACAAGAGUCGGACCGCAAUCCGAGAACGGGAGCAAUUUCAGGAAGAAAGCAUCUCGGUUUGCUUCGGUGGAGUUUGUUUCAGGUUGUAAUUAAAAGUUUGGUGUAUACCACCUAA
Long non-coding RNA from Xiphophorus hellerii (green swordtail), 634 nucleotides. RefSeq lists it as uncharacterized. NCBI's taxonomy places the organism in Eukaryota, Metazoa, Chordata, Actinopteri, Cyprinodontiformes, Poeciliidae. The transcript has 3 exons. The record is from RefSeq and is a predicted model, not a curated record.